AUACGUAGGGGGCGAGCGUUGUCCGGAAUGAUUGGGCGUAAAGGGCGCGUAGGCGGCGCGGUAAGUCUGGAGUGAAAGUCCUGCUUUCAAGGUGGGAAUUGCUUUGGAUACUGCCGAGCUUGAGUGCAGGAGAGGUUAGCGGAAUUCCCGGUGUAGCGGUGAAAUGCAUAGAGAUCGGGAGGAACACCAGUGGCGAAGGCGGGUAACUGGACUGCAACUGACGCUGAGGCGCGAAAGUGUGGGGAGCAAACAGGAUUAGAUACCCUGGUAGUCCACACUGUAAACGAUGAAUGCUAGGUGUAAGAGGUAUCGACCCCUUUUGUGCCGGAGUCAACACAAUAAGCAUUCCGCCUGGGGAGUACGGCCGCAAGGUUGAAACUCAAAGGAAUUGACGGGG
Molecule: ribosomal RNA, 397 nt
Filed under: uncultured bacterium
Lineage: Bacteria
Description: partial 16S ribosomal RNA
Rfam family: Bacterial small subunit ribosomal RNA
Source: RNAcentral